UUAUUACCAAAUAUAAUAAGAAUUUAUUUUAUAUUUUAUAUGUUUUUAUCAAAGUUAAUAUUAUACGGUAUUAAUAUAUAAAAAACGAUCGAGAUUAACGUAAAAUAAGCGUAUAAUAUCGAAUAAAUAAUUAAUUAUAAACGCAACCACGGUAAAAUUAAAUAUUUUGUUACAUGGGAAAAUUAUAAAUAUAAAACAAAUAUUUGGAAAUUUUUUAAUUAUUUCCGAAAUUAAUAAAAACCGUUCCGCUGAUAUUAUUAAAAAUUGGAUUUGCAAAUGAAUUAAUUAAAAAAAAGGAAAGUUUAAAAGAAUACCACCUAUUAUUUCCAAAAGUUAAAAAACGACCAAAAUUUAAAAUUAUACCACCAAAUAAAUUUAAAAAAAGAUAAUUAAUAUUUAUUACAAAUUGAAAUAAAUAAAUAAAACAAUUAACCAAUUAAAUAUUGCGUAAAAAUAUUUAUUUUAUUUAAUAAAACAAGAUUUAAAAAAUUUAUCGGGAAAAUUAAAUUCCAAACAAAAUUAAAAUUGGGAAAAAACAAUUUAAAAAAUAUUUUAAAAAAGAUUUCGGUCAACCGCCGCCGUUUUUUUUAUUUUGUUUUUUAACGUUUUACGCGAUUUAAUUUUUCCAAAUUAUUUAUACCCCGACGGACCGUUUUUAUUAUUUUUUUAAAUUAUAUUUUUUUUAUUUUUACAAACGAAAACUUUUUUUUCCGCCGUUUCCAAUUUAAGUUUAAAUUUCGAAUAUUAAACCGCAAUUUUAUGCAAUUAUUUCAGGGAAAUAUUUAAAACGUUAUAUCGCGAAUCAUUUGAAUAAAUAUAUUUAAUAUAACGAAAAAAAUCCCGAAACGAUAUAAUAUAUUUCGCAAUUUUUUGCAAUUCGCAAAUAAAAUAAAAAAGUAUUUUAACCGUUAAAUUUUUUUUUAAAAAAAACAAAUCGUUGCGGCGAACGGUGGAAAAACGAUCGCGAAAUUUAUUAAUUCAGUUAAAUAUAAUGUAAAAAAAUUAACAAAAAAAAAACAAAACCGAAAAUAAAAAUUUAAAAAAUACAAAUUAUUUAAAAUUAAAGGAAUUUGGCCAAAAAAAGGAAAUUUAAUAUUACAAUUACAUAAUUGGGCCGGUAUUAAAAAAACCAGGUGGGGUUAUAUUUUUUUAAAUAAUAUUUGUCCGGAAAAAAUUACCGAUCGGCGGAAAUAAAAUUAUAUAAAGGAAAAAUAUAUAAUAUUACGUAAUUGCCAAAAAAGAUAUAAUUAAUAUAUCGCAUAUUAAAUAUAAUGAAACGAAUUAAUAUAUCGGUUAUGGAAUAUAUUAAAUAUAUUAUAACCGGGACUAUAAUAUAUAUAAAACGCGUUUAUUAUUAUAUAAACAAAUUCGAUUUUAAAAUUAUGUAGCAGCAAUUAAAUUUUAAUUAAUUUUAAUAUUUAUUUAAAAACGAUUAUAAUUUUA
Molecule: small RNA, 1443 nt
Filed under: Pyricularia oryzae
Lineage: Eukaryota; Fungi; Ascomycota; Sordariomycetes; Magnaporthales; Pyriculariaceae
Description: Magnaporthe oryzae sRNA M_BR32_EuGene_00145661
Source: RNAcentral